RNAcentral lists this long non-coding RNA (1008 nucleotides) under Canis lupus familiaris (dog). RNAcentral's name for it is "lncRNA (ENSCAFG00040019794.1)". Lineage: Eukaryota; Metazoa; Chordata; Mammalia; Carnivora; Canidae. The record is from RNAcentral.
AUGCCCCGUCUCCAUUCAUUCUUAGAGCUGAACUUUAAAAAGUCUCUGCCAAAACCGAAGCGCCAUCGCUGUACCCUCCUCCACCUCCCGCGGAACAUCCUGUCAUCCACUUGUACUCAACCCUCUCCUCGUCCCACCUUCCCCCUCGUCGCGCCCACAGGAAGGCAGGGCCGGAGCCGCACGUACCUCGCGCCGCAGGCCCGGGCAGGGGGGCGAGCCGGGGAGCCCGCGCGCUGCUCACAGAGAGCCUCCUCCGUCGUGCGGCCAAGGGCCCGGACAGUGGCCGGGCAGGAGCCGGCGGCAGAGCGCGGCCCCGGCGGGGUGUUUCCAGGCCGGCUUCCAGCACGCGGCCGCGGGGUCUCGGAGGCCCCCGGAAGCCCUGGUCUCUCUCCCGGGGAGUCCCUGCCGCCGCGCCGCGCGCCCCGCACGUGCCGGCAGCUGCAGGCGCCCGACGGCCCCGCCCGCCUCUCGACUUGCGCGUGCGCAGUCGCUCCUCGGAGCCGGCGGGCGCCGGAGCCGCUCGAGGCCUGUGGGGGCGGAGCUGCUUCCGCUCAGGCGGGCGUCCCCGGGCCUGGAGCUGGUCCCGCGGAGCCUGCAGCCGCGCUCGCCUUCGACGUGCGGGAGGAAGCAAGCUCGAAGCCGGCGCUUUCCCGCCUGCGGCCGGAAGCCUCUGCCUGGACGCAGACUUGUGGUCGGUGCGGCCGCGGGCCUAGCCGUGGGGCUCACGUGCUGUUGCACACCCCGGCGCUCUCGCAGUGGGCGGCCGCGCGGGGAGAGCUCGCCGUCCGGGGGUCUCCCUGCCAGGCUCGGACAGAGGCCCCGGAGAACAGGAGGAAAGGCUGGAGAACUUGCUGCCCCCACCUGCCGGGCCCCAGGGGAAGGCGCCGUCCAGCCUGGCAGGCGGGGGGCGGAGGCCGGGGGUCACCCCAGCGCCGCGGGGCGGCUGUGCAGGCGCCCAAGUCCCGGAGGAGCCUGCAGCAGCAGCCUAGGAGAAGCUUUCUCAGCUGA